Long non-coding RNA from Lagenorhynchus albirostris (white-beaked dolphin), 3229 nucleotides. RefSeq lists it as uncharacterized. Lineage: Eukaryota; Metazoa; Chordata; Mammalia; Artiodactyla; Delphinidae. The transcript has 5 exons. The record is from RefSeq and is a predicted model, not a curated record.
GCUUUGUUAAGCGUUGUAACCCAACCCGUGAGAGACGUGCUGACCGAGGGCGUUGAAGGCGUCGUGAUGGAGACUGGUGCUGUGUCCACAUCCAGGCCAUUGGUCAUUCUGGCCUGACAAGAGAGCUCUGGCUGCUUCUUGAAGGAGAUCGUUUGUUUCAUUCACAUCUUUAAAAAUACUGGUGCCCUCAUUACAUCCUGGCACAAAGCUUGUGUUCAGUGCAUGUUUGCUCGGCCCUGCAAGAGGCUCAAGGGUGCUCAAGGCUUCUGAUCAUUCUUUCCCUUCACCGAUGUUUCCAAUAUUCACGACAACAGUUAACAUCAGCAACGUAUAAACAGCUCUUUCCCGUCUCAAGAACCAGAGAAACAGCCCAGGAAAAAUGGAUGGAAGCUAUAAAUAGGACAUUCUCAAAGCAAGAAUUCCACAAGGCCAGUAAUCAUGUGAAAUUUUCUUUCAAUGACACUAGUUAUGUUUUACCAGCUUGGUUUUUCUUUCUUUCCCAGCAAAUUGACGACAAUGUCGACAUGCCCUCAUGCACAGAGUCUAUGGCACAGGAUUGCCACCCUCUUGAGACAUCCUUUCAAUUAUCCAGAGAUCCUGGGGCUUACAUGGUCCAAAGGGCAUCCGUCCUGCUUCCAAACAUGAGGCAAAGAGAAGGAGAACGGCGUUGACGGGGAUUUGGCUGAAACUGGAAGGCAGACUGCAGACUGUGAAUUCUUUUAUCCCCUUAUCAUCUCUGGGAGCAGUCAUUACUUGUGAGUUAGGAAAAACAGCUUUCGGUCCUGCGACGGACGUCCAGGGGCUCAUGGAGCAUCUUCUCUCCAGACGGGACGCGUCAGCCCUGUCCCCGCUCAUGGUCACACCUUCUCCUGGGGGCCCAGCUCCUCUGCCUCCUUGAGGGUGAAUCUGCUCCCUGCCGUCCAUGCACGUUUAGCAAAUUCAGGGGGAGAGUGUAAUGUGGCAGCCUGUGAGCAGGGCGCGUGAUCUGUGGGCAGGAGGCACUGUGGGGACCGUGGGCAUCACAGUGGACCUGCCUCAUGUUCAUAGUUUUAGUUAGGUAUGAAUAUGCCUUAACUUAUUUCACAACAUGUAGAAAUUAUAAGCAGGAAAACAGAAGCAUGCAGAGCCUGCGUUUGCAGAUCUUUAACUGAAAUGCUUACAUUCGAGUGUGAUGCUUGGAUAAACAUUAGACGUGAGAGUGACUUUGGCUGGUUCUGGUGAACUAUAAAUAAGAACAGUUUUCAGCUGAAAGAGCACAGGAUGAUCAUUUUACUACUUAACAACCCUGCUAAUUUGACCUUUGGAGGCGUCAGUGGUUGCAUCCUGUAUUCCAGCUUGCAGGAACACAGGAACGGUUUUCUUCCUAAUUCCUUUGAUGGCUUGACGGUCUGUGUUCAUAUAACUGGAACCUGGCUGAGAAAUACUGGACCGUGAUUCACCAGAGGCAAGAUCGUUGGGUCAAAAGUCCACGGGCUUCGGAUUGAGAAGGAUCCAGGUUCAAGUUCAAAUUCUGCAGUUUACUGUCUACAUGAACUUUAUUGGACCGUUUCUCUUUCCUGGUCCCUGAACCCAGGACAAAUGAAAAGACUCAGCACAGGUAGUUCAGGGGUUGGUUGAGGAGGUAGAAGUACACCCACGGGGUAACAAGGAAGAUGCCACAGUCAAGUGGUGACGCACGGGGCACACUGAGUCUGAGAGAGAGAACACCUUGGGAUUGUGAGGAAGCUUACACACUGCUCCUGAGAUGACACAUCCACAGUGGUUUGUACCAUCUUUUCAUCACUGAGACAGAAAUGGCCACAACGCAGAAGAUUCUCAUAUGCUGGGGCGUUGCUAGCACUUUCCUGCGUUCAGUAUUAAAGCCACUCGGUAUUUUAAGUAGACCAAGGACCCCUGAAUAUUCAGCUUCCUGCUUCUGGGAUGCUGGCCUCACUCUGGUUCCCUUGCCUGGGGGCCUUGGGCUCUCAGGGGAGAUGCUAACAGUGGGUGUCUGCCCUGCAGAGGGAGGUCCAGCUAAUGAGGGUCGGGCAGGGAGGGGUCCGGGCAGAGGAGGAUGGGAUGGGGGCGUCUGCCUUCACUCCCUCCAGCCCCAUCCAUGCAGCCCUGAGCACGUAGAGGAGAGAGAGCCCACCGCCCCGUCCUGAGGGGUCUCCAGGUUGGGGGCAGCAGCUCCGGGAAGGUGGUGGCCUGAGCACCGUGACCGGAUACGAGGCCCCUUUGAGAAGUUGCCACCAUCUGAGAGGACACCCUCCUCUGACCUGUUUCACAGCAGAGCUGACUUGCGGUGACUAUUGCAGGACUUGGGGACUUCCUGGGAGAGAGAAGUCUCCAGUGCCGACUUCCCUGAGCUUCUGUUUUCUCACUGCAGCCUGGGAGGGGACAUCCUUCCACAGGGCUGUGGUGAGGUUUGAUCUCAGGUUCCCCGCCUGCCUUGGCUGCCUCACCCCACACGUGCUUUCCUGUCCAUCCCCAAAGCUCACCACCUCCUGCUCGCCCUUCCAUGUUCGGGGUUCCUCCUCCGAGACCCCCAGGACUUUGGUUUUCCUCCAGCGGUUCCUGCCCUGCCCCACCGCUGCGCCUGUGGACCGCCCUCCCUACACCCACAUCCAGGCUGAUGGAUCGCCUGCACCCUCCCCGCCCUAACCUCUGUCUCACUUCCAGAAGGCAGUCAACGACACACCCGGGCCUGGGGAACUGCUCUCCCCCAGGAAGUCCCCUUGCUAACGAGACGCUCUGUCCUCCCCAUGUCCUCCACGCCCUCACCGAGCACGGUGGCCACUCCAUCCUGUGUCCAGGGCUUUCAUCAGCCUGGUCCUCUUCUCUACACCCCCCGCAUCUCACAUCCACGCCCCCCGCAUCUCACCUCCACGCCCCCCGCAUCUCACCUCCACGCUCCACGCAUCUCACCUCCGCGCCCCCCGCAUCUCACCUCUGUCCUUCCAGCCCUGGACACAGAGUAUAAUUAAAAUUCACUCUCACCGCCCCAUCAAUGUUCUUAACUCACUCACUCUACAAAUAUUUACUGAACGACAAGGCUGUUCAAGGCCAUCUCUUCCACUUCCUUCUCUUGCGUCUUCACAUCCACUUACAGCUCCCUCUCCUUGGUUUAGUCACUCGUUACACGCCCAUGUUUUAUGAACUCUAAGCAAUACUGAUCAUAAAAUGUACCAUUACAUUAUAAGCUGCAGAGAAUGAAAAAAAUGCUGCCAAUAAACAUUGAGAACUGCCA